UCCUGUAGCGAAAUGGAUAGCAAGUUGGACUUCUAAUCCAAAGAUUGUGGGUUUGAGUCCCACCUGAGGAU
Trichonephila inaurata madagascariensis is the source of this 71-nucleotide non-coding RNA. NCBI's taxonomy places the organism in Eukaryota, Metazoa, Arthropoda, Arachnida, Araneae, Nephilidae. The record is from the annotation of a GenBank genome assembly.